Molecule: ribosomal RNA, 588 nt
Filed under: uncultured bacterium
Lineage: Bacteria
Description: bacterial SSU rRNA
Rfam family: Bacterial small subunit ribosomal RNA
Source: RNAcentral
CCUACGGAGGCAGCAGUAGGGAAUCUUCCACAAUGGACGAAAGUCUGAUGGAGCAACGCCGCGUGAGUGAUGAAGGUUUUCGGAUCGUAAAACUCUGUUGUAAGGGAAGAACAAGUACGAGAGGUAAUGCUCGUACCUUGACGGUACCUUGCGAGAAAGCCACGGCUAACUACGUGCCAGCAGCCGCGGUAAUACGUAGGUGGCAAGCGUUGUCCGGAAUUAUUGGGCGUAAAGCGCGCGCAGGCGGCCUUUUAAGUCUGAUGUGAAAGCCCCCGGCUCAACCGGGGAGGGUCAUUGGAAACUGGAAGGCUUGAGUACAGAAGAGAAGAGUGGAAUUCCAUGUGUAGCGGUGAAAUGCGUAGAGAUGUGGAGGAACACCAGUGGCGAAGGCGACUCUUUGGUCUGUAACUGACGCUGAGGCGCGAAAGCGUGGGGAGCAAACAGGAUUAGAUACCCUGGUAGUCCACGCCGUAAACGAUGAGUGCUAGGUGUUGGGGGGUUUCCGGCCCUCAGUGCUGAAGCUAACGCAUUAAGCACUCCGCCGUGGGGGGUCGGCCGGCAAGGCUGAAACUUNAAAGAAGUUGACGG